GGUGGAGAGAAGAAUGAUGGAAUCCUUUAGUGUUGCCUUACUGAUCCUGUGGCUUCAGCUCAUUUCGGUGAGCAGCCAGCAGAAGGAGGUGGAGCAGAGCCCUGAGUCCCUCCGUGUUUCAGAGGGAGCCAGCGCCUCUCUCAACUGCACUUACAGGGACAGCACUUCUAAGUACUUCUUCUGGUACCGACAGUGUCCUGGGAGAGGCCCCGAGCUGCUGGUGUCCAUGUACUCCAAUGGUGACAAAGAAGAAGGAAGAUUCACAGCGCGGCUCAGCACAUCUAGCCGCCACUUUUCCCUGGACAUCUCAGGCUCCCAGCACAGCGACUCAGCCACCUACCUCUGCGCAGUGAGCACACAGUGCUCCCCGGGGGCCUGCAGCUGCACCCAAACUACAGGGGCCCGGGCAGAGCUGAGGCAGAGCAGAGAGCACAGGGCAGCGCAGUUCUGCUCCUGCUCCUGA
This is a non-coding RNA of Octodon degus (degu), 463 nucleotides long. The record is from the annotation of a RefSeq genome assembly. NCBI's taxonomy places the organism in Eukaryota, Metazoa, Chordata, Mammalia, Rodentia, Octodontidae.